AUUGAACGCUGGCGGCAUGCUUUACACAUGCAAGUCGAACGGUAACAGGCCUUCGGGUGCUGACGAGUGGCGAACGGGUGAGUAAUGCAUCGGAACGUGCCCAAUCGUGGGGGAUAACGUAGCGAAAGUUACGCUAAUACCGCAUAAGCCCUGAGGGGGAAAGUGGGGGACCGCAAAGGCCUCACGCGGAAUGGAGCGGCCGAUGUCAGAUUAGCUAGUUGGUGGGGUAAAGCUCACCAAGGCGACGAUCUGUAGCGGGUCUGAGAGGAUGAUCCGCCACACUGGGACUGAGACACGGCCCAGACUCCUACGGGAGGCAGCAGUGGGGAAUUUUGGACAAUGGGCGCAAGCCUGAUCCAGCCAUGCCGCGUGCGGGACGAAGGCCUUCGGGUU
RNAcentral lists this ribosomal RNA (393 nucleotides) under uncultured bacterium. RNAcentral's name for it is "bacterial SSU rRNA". It matches the Rfam family "Bacterial small subunit ribosomal RNA", at positions 29 to 424 of the family's 1533-position model. The record is from RNAcentral.